RNAcentral lists this ribosomal RNA (253 nucleotides) under uncultured bacterium. RNAcentral describes it as "partial 16S ribosomal RNA". It matches the Rfam family "Bacterial small subunit ribosomal RNA", at positions 524 to 776 of the family's 1533-position model. The record is from RNAcentral.
UACGAAGGGGGCUAGCGUUGUUCGGAAUCACUGGGCGUAAAGGGCGCGUAGGCGGCUUGGCAAGUGGAAGGUGAAAUCCCUCGGCUUAACCGAGGAACUGCCCUCCAAACUGCUUUGCUUGAGGCCGGGAGAGGUGAGUGGAAUUCCCAGUGUAGCGGUGAAAUGCGUAGAUAUUGGGAGGAACACCAGUGGCGAAGGCGGCUCACUGGACCGGUUCUGACGCUGAGGCGCGAAAGCGUGGGGAGCAAACGGG